RNAcentral lists this unclassified non-coding RNA (404 nucleotides) under soil metagenome. Its description in RNAcentral is "partial contains 5.8S ribosomal RNA, internal transcribed spacer 2, and large subunit ribosomal RNA". The stretch from base 1 to 121 matches the Rfam family "5.8S ribosomal RNA", at positions 35 to 154 of the family's 154-position model. The record is from RNAcentral.
GAUGAAGAACGCAGCGAAAUGCGAUAAGUAAUGUGAAUUGCAGAAUUCAGUCAAUCAUCGAAUCUUUGAACGCACCUUGCGCCCUUUGGCUAUUCCGAAGGGCAUGCCUGUUUGAGUAUCAUGAACACCUCAACUCUCAUGGUUUGCCAUGAUGAGCUUGGACUUUGGGGGUCUUGCCGGCCUAUGGGUCGGCUCCUCUCAAAUUAAUCAGCUUGCCAGUGUUUGGUGGCAUCACAGGUGUGAUAACUAUCUACGCUUGUGGUUUUCCAUCAGGUAACCUUCAGUGAUGGAGGUUCGCUGGGGCUCAUAAAUGUCUCUCCUCAGUGAGGACAGCUUUUUUGAACGUUUGAUCUCAAAUCAGGUAGGACUACCCGCUGAACUUAAGCAUAUCAAUAAGCGGAGGA